RNAcentral lists this ribosomal RNA (253 nucleotides) under uncultured bacterium. RNAcentral's name for it is "partial 16S ribosomal RNA". It matches the Rfam family "Bacterial small subunit ribosomal RNA", at positions 524 to 776 of the family's 1533-position model. The record is from RNAcentral.
UACGGGGGGGGCAAGCGUUGUUCGGAUUCACUGGGCGUAAAGGGUGCGCAGGUGGUCGGGUAAGUCUGACGUGAAAUCCCGCAGCUUAACUGCGGAAUGGCAUUGGAUACUAUUCGGCUAGAGGGUUGGAGGGGGGACUGGAAUUCUCGGUGUAGCAGUGAAAUGCGUAGAUAUCGAGAGGAACACCAGUGGCGAAGGCGAGUCCCUGGACAACUCCUGACGCUGAGGCACGAAAGCUAGGGGAGCAAACAGG